UAUAAUGGAAUUCAAAACUAAGAUCUAAAUCACACACCACAUACUUUAUUAUGUGGCAAGCCGGAUAUGAAAUUAGUGAGAGUAAAUUGAUUUGGUCACUCUAUGCUCACACCUCCCUUUCAAGUCAGACUCUCUCUCUCCCCCUAUUCUCUUGUUCUGCUUAGCACCACAACUUUCUCCACAACUUGAGGACGAAUUCCUCCUCUUCCUCUCAUGCUUCAUUUGUGUCCUUUCCAUAAUCAUCUCCCUAUCUACAUCCUGAGCAACUCCUUCUUCUGUCCUAUAUCCAUUGUUUUCCCCAACUUUCUUGGUCGUAACUAAAUCUUCACCAUUAUUUUUGCUCAAAAUUUCAACAUAACUCACAUUUCUCACCCCACAAGUUCUCUGCCACUUUCCAUAGAAAACCCACCUCCAAUGACGGAAUCAUUGCCUUUUUCGGUCUCCUGUCCUAAAACCCAGCAUCUUUCUCUCCCUUCUCCCCCUAUCUCUUUAAUCCUACCAUGCUUCUUCUCCUCCUCCACAGGCUCAAUUGCUUCAACUCUGCAUUUCUCCUCUGCACCACAUUCUUCCUCCACCUCCAUUCUCGCCCGCUUUGUUUUAUGUGCCAUUACAAACCCAACAAACAAUAAAAGAAAAUGAACAGUGUUUUUUCGAUCCAAGUAGAGUAUAUAUUUCUUUAUGGAGGGGUGGCUUUUGUGGGGAAAGAGUGGUGGGUCUCCUGAGCAGAUAACAACUACACCACCAUUGCAAGUUUCAUCACACACGCUGUGAGCGUUAGGAGAGCUUUGGGGGAGAAGACGUGGGAGAUUUGGAUGUUUGGAGAUUUUGUUUGUUUUUGCAUUGCAAGGGUGCAUAUUUUGCUUUGAAAAAAGGCUGGCAUCGAUGUGCUGACCGUGCAAGUUCCUGUAGUAUAACUCUGUAAGUAGUAGGAGCCCAACGUGAAAAGGAUUUACUCUAGCCACAAAAUUACAAAUGGAUAGAAACGAGGGUACGUGUAGACCACAUGAAAAUAGCUCUUAUGCAUAUCAUUUUUGCGAUAAGGCCCUGCAACCCAUCUCUUCUAAUUAGACCAACCGUGGAUUCUCCGGCCCAUGAAGACAUCAAUCACCAAGAUGCAGCCCAUUGAUAUUGAACGUAGUACGGUCUUUCAAGACACCGAUCCUUCAGACGGGGGAAGAAUUUCACCAAACAGCAUUGUGCGUGAGCCACACAUGCGGUUCAAAGUGGGCGCGUGAAACCCAUGUGCCUUUACUAAGGGUGCUCUUCUGCCGUUACGUACGGCUUUUCUGGGUCUAAAGCCACCGGUUACUUCAAACCUGACUAACCUCCAUACUUCCAGGAGGGCACAUGGCUCUCACACGUCAUCACAGUCAUUUUGUUUGUAAUUUUUUUCCUCCAAUGUUGAAAAUAUGGAUCUAUGUCUUUUCAAAAUGUAAUUUAUUUUUUUUUCAUGUAUUUUUAAUUUUUAUUAUAUCUUUUGUUUUAAAAAAAAAACAAAGUUUCUUGAACUUUUGUUCAUAGAGUGUGUUCUCUAUUCUUUCUUAAAUAAAGUAUGGAGUUUGUUAACUCUGUCUUAAACAGAGUUGUGUUAUCUCUUAGAUAGAGUUGUGUUAUCUCUCAGACAAUGGUCUUUAGAAGUUCGCAGCAUGGACUAGGCCUGCAACACGAUGUGUAAUAGAUGGGUUCGUGACCAACCCGACCCGAAUGCCUCCAAUUAAGGCGCCAAACUGAUCCAAUCCGAUCCGAACAAAAUAAAAUCGGGUGGACCCGUAUGACCCGACCUUCGCAAAUAAACAUGAAUAUAUGUUUUCCAUGCUUCCAGAAGGUAGAAACAGAAACUGAUUCACAAACUUAAAACCAUGUAAAUUUGGAUUGUAGAGGAAGAUAUAUACACACAUACAAAGGAGAGGAAGAGAGAGAAGUGGUUUUGGGAUCGAAGGAGAAGAUCUCGAGCUGAGAAGGAGAGGCAUCCUCAAGCUUCGACCUGCGCAGCACCACCAAAUUCACUUUAUCGGGCCCUUGAAUCCAUGAACCACACAUAACCAGACCCUGGUUCGACCCGCCACCAUCCAUUAACCAAAUUUCCCAAAGUGAAAGAGAGAAACUGUCGACGUUGUGGUUGCAAAACAGAGAGAGAAGCCAUCUGGUGACAUCACGAUUAUCAUGGGUUCCCCCAACUCGCUACUCAAGACCCUUCCACCCACCGACCAAAUUUUCCACAGCGAAAGAGAGAAACCAUCGAUGUUGUGGUUGGAAAACAAAGAGAGAAGCCAUAUUCCCUCGACUUACUGCUCAAGACCCAUCUAUCGUCCAUCGACCAAAUUUCUCAAAGUGAAAGAGAGAAACCAUCGACGUUGUGGUUGAAAAAUAGAGAGAGAAGCCAUCUGGUGACAUCGCGAUUCUCAUGGUACUUUCUCUCGUGAGCCAGUUAUUAGCCAAAUACGGAAUUUUGGUGCUCAUAUCAGGCAAGAAGGAUGGUGUCGUUGCUGUUGGCGUUCAUGUUGGCCAGAAGGACGUCGAGCUAGUCACCAGAGGGCUUGAGGCUGAGUGGGCGAAGAAGAAGGUUAAGUCAGAGUGAGCGGCUACUGGCUAGGGUUGAGUGAGCGAAGAAGGUUUGACUCCAACUAUACGAACCCGUUAUUAGUCAGGUUGGAGACCCGCUCAAUAUAAUAACCCGAAAAAUAUGGGUCGGUUCGGAUCAUCCUCACCAGUUCCAAUGGGUCUUCGGGUCACAUGCACACCCCUAGCAUAGACUAGACCAUGUUAGUCACAGAUAUGUAUUAGAAAAAGCUAUUAAUAUUAUAAUUGACUUAUAAUGUAUAUUUCAGGUCAAGGUUAUAAUGUUUGUUA
This is a long non-coding RNA of Carya illinoinensis, 2850 nucleotides long. RefSeq lists it as uncharacterized. The record is from RefSeq and is a predicted model, not a curated record. NCBI's taxonomy places the organism in Eukaryota, Viridiplantae, Streptophyta, Magnoliopsida, Fagales, Juglandaceae. The transcript is spliced from 2 exons.